GUCAUUACACCCCAUCAAGCUCAGCUUGGUCUUGGGCGGCGCGUCCCUGACCGGACGCCCCCGAAAGUCCUCGGCGGCGGCGUCGAGCCACAAGCGUAUUAGCAAUUUUCUCGCUAUGUAGGCCUCGGAGUCGCCCGCCCCGAAACACCCAACACUUAAAGGUUGACCUCGGAUCAGGCAAGGAUACCCGCUGAACUUAA
This 200-nucleotide unclassified non-coding RNA is filed under the name soil metagenome. RNAcentral's name for it is "partial contains internal transcribed spacer 2 and large subunit ribosomal RNA". The record is from RNAcentral.